Molecule: ribosomal RNA, 347 nt
Filed under: uncultured eukaryote
Lineage: Eukaryota
Description: SSU rRNA
Rfam family: Eukaryotic small subunit ribosomal RNA
Source: RNAcentral
AUAGCGUAUAUUAAAGUUGUUGAGGUUAAAAAGCUCGUAGUUGAACCUUGGGCCUAGCCGGCCGGUCCGCCUCACCGCGUGCACUGGCUCGGCUGGGCCUUUCCUUCUGGAGAACCGCAUGCCCUUCACUGGGUGUGCUGGGGAACCAGGACUUUUACUCUGAACAAAUUAGAUCGCUUAAAGAAGGCCUAUGCUCGAAUACAUUAGCAUGGAAUAAUAGAAUAGGACGUGUGGUUCUAUUUUGUUGGUAUUGACGGCCGGCCGUAAUGAUUAAUAGGGAUAGUCGGGGGCAUCAGUAUUCAAUUGUCAGAGGUGAAAUUCUUGGAUUUAUUGAAGACUAACUACUG